CCUACGGGAGGCAGCAGUAAGGAAUAUUGGUCAAUGGGCGCAAGCCUGAACCAGCCAUGCCGCGUGCAGGAAGACGGCCCUAUGGGUUGUAAACUGCUUUUGAACAAGAGAAAACCUCGGUACGUGUACCGAGCUGAUAGUAUUGUUAGAAUAAGCAUCGGCUAACUUCGUGCCAGCAGCCGCGGUAAGACGAAGGAUGCAAGCGUUAUCCGGAUUCAUUGGGUUUAAAGGGUGCGUAGGCGGCCUGAUAAGUCAGUGGUGAAAUCUCUCAGCUUAACUGAGAAACUGCCAUUGAUACUGUCGGGCUUGAGUACAGAUGAUGUGGGCGGAAUAUGACAUGUAGUGGUGAAAUACUUAGAUAUGUCAUAGAACACCGAUUGCGAAGGCAGCUCACAAAACUGUAACUGACGCUGAGGCACGAAAGUGCGGGGAUCAAACAGGAUUAGAUACCCUGGUAGUCCGCACCGUAAACGAUGAUUACUCGUUGUUGGCAAUAUGACCGUCAGCGACCAAGCGAAAGCGAUAAGAAUCCACCCUGGGGAGUACGCCGGCAACGGUUGAAACCUUAAAGGAAUUGACCGGNGNGAGAGNGCGAGGCGACACGAGGGAGAGG
This 613-nucleotide ribosomal RNA is filed under the name uncultured bacterium. Its description in RNAcentral is "bacterial SSU rRNA". It matches the Rfam family "Bacterial small subunit ribosomal RNA", at positions 338 to 950 of the family's 1533-position model. The record is from RNAcentral.